AACGCGAAGAACCUUACCGGGUCUUGACAUCCUCUGACAACUCUAGAGAUAGAGCGUUCCCCUUCGGGGGACAGAGUGACAGGUGGUGCAUGGUUGUCGUCAGCUCGUGUCGUGAGAUGUUGGGUUAAGUCCCGCAACGAGCGCAACCCUUGAUCUUAGUUGCCAGCAUUUAGUUGGGCACUCUAAGGUGACUGCCGGUGACAAACCGGAGGAAGGUGGGGAUGACGUCAAAUCAUCAUGCCCCUUAUGACCUGGGCUACACACGUGCUACAAUGGAUGGUACAAAGGGCUGCAAAACCGCAAGGUCGAGCCAAUCCCAUAAAACCAUUCUCAGUUCGGAUUGCAGGCUGCAACUCGCCUGCAUGAAGCCGGAAUCGCUAGUAAUCAUGGAUCAGCAUGCCGCGGUGAAUACGUUCCCGGGCCUUGUACACACCGA
This 436-nucleotide ribosomal RNA is filed under the name uncultured bacterium. RNAcentral describes it as "bacterial SSU rRNA". It matches the Rfam family "Bacterial small subunit ribosomal RNA", at positions 958 to 1393 of the family's 1533-position model. The record is from RNAcentral.